This 253-nucleotide ribosomal RNA is filed under the name uncultured bacterium. RNAcentral's name for it is "partial 16S ribosomal RNA". It matches the Rfam family "Bacterial small subunit ribosomal RNA", at positions 524 to 776 of the family's 1533-position model. The record is from RNAcentral.
UACGAAGGGGGCUAGCGUUGUUCGGAAUCACUGGGCGUAAAGCGCACGUAGGCGGAUGCGCCAGUCAGGGGUGAAAUCCCGGAGCUCAACUUCGGAACUGCCUCUGAUACAGCACGUCUUGAGUCCGGAAGAGGUGGGUGGAAUUCCUAGUGUAGAGGUGAAAUUCGUAGAUAUUAGGAAGAACACCGGUGGCGAAGGCGGCCCACUGGUCCGGUACUGACGCUCAGGAGCGAAAGCGUGGGGAGCGAUCCGG